RNAcentral lists this ribosomal RNA (749 nucleotides) under uncultured bacterium. RNAcentral describes it as "bacterial SSU rRNA". It matches the Rfam family "Bacterial small subunit ribosomal RNA", at positions 8 to 774 of the family's 1533-position model. The record is from RNAcentral.
AGAGUUUGAUCAUGGCUCAGGACGAACGCUGGCGGCACGCCUAACACAUGCAAGUCGAACGAAGUAAGAAGCUUGCUUCUUGCUUAGUGGCGGACGGGUGAGUAACACGUGAGCAACCUGCCUUAAAGAGGGGGACAACAGUUGGAAACGACUGCUAAUACCGCAUAAUGUGCGCUGGAAGCAUUUCCUAUGCACCAAAGGAGCAAUCCGCUUUAAGAUGGGCUCGCGCCUGAUUAGAUAGUUGGUGAGGUAACGGCCCACCAAGUCUGCGAUCAGUAGCCGGACUGAGAGGUUGAACGGCCACAUUGGGACUGAGACACGGCCCAGACUCCUACGGGAGGCAGCAGUGGGGGAUAUUGGUCAAUGGGGGAAACCCUGAACCAGCGAUGCCGCGUGAGGGAAGAAGGUUUUCGGAUUGUAAACCUCUGUCAUCGGGGAAGAUAAUGACGGUACCCGAGAAGGAAGCCACGACUAACUACGUGCCAGCAGCCGCGGUAAUACGUAGGUGGCGAGCGUUGUCCGGAAUUACUGGGUGUAAAGGGAGUGUAGGCGGGACGGCAAGUCAGGUGUGAAAUCUAUGGGCUCAACCCAUAGCGUGCACUUGAAACUGUUGUUCUUGAGUGAAGUAGAGGCAAGCGGAAUUCCUAGUGUAGCGGUGAAAUGCGUAGAUAUUAGGAGGAACACCAGUGACGAAGGCGGCUUGCUGGGCUUUUACUGACGCUGAGGCUCGAAAGCGUGGGGAGCAAACA